RNAcentral lists this ribosomal RNA (494 nucleotides) under uncultured bacterium. RNAcentral's name for it is "partial 16S ribosomal RNA". It matches the Rfam family "Bacterial small subunit ribosomal RNA", at positions 28 to 507 of the family's 1533-position model. The record is from RNAcentral.
GACGAACGCUGGCGGCGUGCUUAACACAUGCAAGUCGAACGGAAAGGCCUGCUUUCCCUUGUGGAUUGCGGGUACUCGAGUGGCGAACGGGUGAGUAACACGUGAGUGAUCUGCCCCCAACUUGGGUAUAAGCCUGGGUAACUGGGUCUAAUUCCCGAUUGGACUGCAGGGUGGUGCCUGUGGUGGAACACGAUUUUCUAGUGGUUGGGGAUGAGCUCGCGGCCUAUCAGCUUGUUGGUGGGGUAAUGGCCUAGCAAGGCGGCGACGGGUAGCCGGCCGGGGGGGGUGGGCGGGCACAUUGGAACUGGGAGACGGCCCAGACGCCUGCGGCAGGAAGGAGUGGGGAGGAGUGCACGAUGGGCGGAAGCCGGAAGGAGCGGGGCCGCGUGGAGGAUGACGGGUUACGGGUUGUUAUCGCCUGUCAACCGCGAGGAAGCGACUUGGUUGGUAGGGUAGUGACGGUAGUGGUAGAAGAAGCGACGGCUAACUACGUG